GUCCCAAGUUCUUGAUUAUUAUUCUCUGUACCUGUGAAACGAAACAACUAAUCUGGAGUUUUUCAACACUAGGAGUCAGAAAAGUUCUCGAGACAAAAUUAAUGCACUUACAAGCCCUGGAGUUGGUAAAAUGUUCAUGGAGAAAAGUACUUUUGUUGAAUGAUUCACAAAUUGGUAACUUACUUAGAAGUCCUUCGCGGCCAUUGUUUGUAGCAGCAGAGUUGGGAAAUUUUGAGUUCAUAGUAGAGCUUAUUCAGUCUUAUCCAGAUCUCAUCUGGAAGGUUGAUGAGGAAAGUCGGAGCAUCUUUCACAUUGCUGUCAUUCAUCGACAAGAAAAGGUCUACAAACUAAUCUACAACAUAGGAUCACACAAAGAUAUCAUCACGUCCUACAAAAGCACAAAUAAUGAGAACAUUUUACACUUGGCUGCAAAGCUAGCUCCUAUAAAUCGACUUGGUAUUGU
RNAcentral lists this long non-coding RNA (463 nucleotides) under Solanum melongena (eggplant). RNAcentral's name for it is "long non-coding RNA (SMEL_LNC000051)". Lineage: Eukaryota; Viridiplantae; Streptophyta; Magnoliopsida; Solanales; Solanaceae. The record is from RNAcentral.